RNAcentral lists this unclassified non-coding RNA (377 nucleotides) under uncultured Parachlamydiaceae bacterium. RNAcentral's name for it is "contains 16S-23S intergenic spacer region". The record is from RNAcentral. Lineage: Bacteria; Pseudomonadati; Chlamydiota; Chlamydiia; Parachlamydiales; Parachlamydiaceae.
UCCCGGUUAACCCGGGCAGUCUCAUUAGAGUUCCCACCUUAAAUGUUGGCAACUAAUGAUAAGGGUUGCGCUCGUUGCUGGACUUAACCAAACACCUCACGGCACGAGCUGACGACAGCCAUGCAGCACCUGUGUAGCGGUCCCGAAGGAAAGCCCUAUUUCUAGAGCGGUCCACUACAUGUCAAGUCUGGGUAAGGUUCUUCGCGUUGCAUCGAAUUAAACCACAUGCUCCACUGCUUGUGCGGGUCCCCGUCAAUUCUUUUGAGUUUCAGCCUUGCGACUGUACUCCCCAGGCGGUAUACUUAACGCGUUCGCUACGGCACAACCAGGGUUGAGUCCGGUUACACCAAGUAUACAUCGUUUACGGCAAGGACUAC